CGAAACACGAUGAACAGAAAGAAGUAAGGAAUGGUUGACUUUAAGAGAAGCGACGGUUGGUGAAAGUCGCUAGUCAACGUUCACUGAAAUGCCUCUGGGAGUGGUCUCGGCGAGUGAAGUUGAAGAAGUCGUUCUUUUUUACUUCAGGUAGCCGAGGACGUCAAAGCAUGCGUUAACAGCUAGAGGUAAUCAUGUGCGAUUAUAAAUAAAAGUGGAACCACGCCAAUUAGCGUCUUUUAA
This 240-nucleotide non-coding RNA is filed under the name Enterococcus villorum. Its description in RNAcentral is "T-box sequence". It matches the Rfam family "T-box leader". From Rfam's summary of the family: Uncharged tRNA acts as the effector for transcription antitermination of genes in the T-box leader family. T-boxes are found upstream of many aminoacyl-tRNA synthetase genes and some amino acid biosynthetic genes usually in Gram-positive bacteria. Lineage: Bacteria; Bacillati; Bacillota; Bacilli; Lactobacillales; Enterococcaceae. The record is from RNAcentral.